GACGAACGCUGGCGGCGUGCCUAAUACAUGCAAGUUGAGCGCUGAAGGUUGGUUCUUGUCCCGACUGGAUGAGCAGCGGACGGGUGAGUCACGCGUGGGUAAUCUGCCGUUGGGCGGGAGACAAGGUAUGGAAACGUAUUCUAAUACCGCAUCAGAACUUUAAACACAAGUUUUUUGUUUGAACAAUGCAUUUGCAUCACUCAAAGCUGAUCCCGCGGUGGAUUAGCUAGUUGGUGAGGGAAAGGCCCACCAAGGCGAUGAUACAUAGACGACCUGGGAGGGAGAUUCGCCACAUUGGGAAUGGGGCACGGCUCCAACUCCUACGGGAGGGAGCAGGAGGGGAACUUCGGAAAUGGAGGAAAGUCUGACCGAGCAAAGCCGCGGGAGGUAAGAAGGUUUUCGGGUCGGAAAACUCUGUUGGUAGGGAAGAACGUUGGGGAGAGUGGAAAGCUCAUGAAGUGACGGUACCUACACAGAAAGGGACGGCUAACUACGUG
RNAcentral lists this ribosomal RNA (497 nucleotides) under uncultured bacterium. RNAcentral's name for it is "partial 16S ribosomal RNA". It matches the Rfam family "Bacterial small subunit ribosomal RNA", at positions 28 to 507 of the family's 1533-position model. The record is from RNAcentral.